RNAcentral lists this ribosomal RNA (492 nucleotides) under uncultured bacterium. RNAcentral describes it as "partial 16S ribosomal RNA". It matches the Rfam family "Bacterial small subunit ribosomal RNA", at positions 29 to 507 of the family's 1533-position model. The record is from RNAcentral.
AGUGAACGCUGGCGGUAGGCCUAACACAUGCAAGUCGAACGGCAGCACAGUAAGAGCUUGCUCUUACGGGUGGCGAGUGGCGGACGGGUGAGGAAUACAUCGGAAUCUACUUUUUCGUGGGGGAUAACGUAGGGAAACUUACGCUAAUACCGCAUACGACCUACGGGUGAAAGCAGGGGAUCUUCGGACCUUGCGCGAUUGAAUGAGCCGAUGUCGGAUUAGCUAGUUAGCGGGGUAAAGGCCCACCAAGGCGACGAUCCGUAGCUGGUCUGAGAGGAUGAUCAGCCACACUGGAACUGAGACACGGUCCAGACUCCUAAGGGAGGCAGCAGUGGGGAAUAUUGGACAAUGGGCGCAAGCCUGAUCCAGCCAUACCGCGUGGGUGAAGAAGGCCUUCGGGUUGUAAAGCCCUUUUGUUGGGAAAGAAAAGCAGCAGGUUAAUACCCCGCUGUUCUGACGGUACCCAAAGAAUAAGCACCGGCUAACUUCGUG